Non-coding RNA from Kogia breviceps (pygmy sperm whale), 1708 nucleotides. The record is from RefSeq and is a predicted model, not a curated record. Lineage: Eukaryota; Metazoa; Chordata; Mammalia; Artiodactyla; Physeteridae.
UCAAGGAAAUUCCAGCUUAGUCAAGAGAGAUGAAAAUUUAAUCUAAGUGUAAUGAAGUAUUUUAGGGGAUGGUGAAGUGAGGGCACAGGAGACAGUGGUCAGUUCUAUCUGAAAAAGGAGGAGGUGGAAAGACCUCAUGGAAGAGUUUUCUGAACCCACCUUGAAGGAAGUCUAGGGUUUCGCCCAGCCAACCAUGUGGACAUUUAGGUACAGAGUCAUCAGGGUCAGCGAUGCCCUGGCCCUUGAGACAUCCUGGCAGUUUGGAGGAACUACAAGAAUCUAUGUGGCUACAGCAUAUGGUGUGAGAAGCAGUGAAGGCAGUGAAGUGCCAUUUGCUGUGGACCAUGGCAUGGAAUUUCCAUGGGCCAAGGCAGUUGGAAAGACAAUGAAGGGUUUGAACCAGACUUUCAUUUGGGGAAGAUCACCAUCCAUGGCAUGAAGGAUGAUGUGGGAAAAACAAACAAAAAAACCAUGCCCAGAACUCUUCAGAAGAGGAUCCCAUCUUGUGUUCAGUAGUGGUCAAGAUAUGCAGUCCUUUUGAAAACAGGGCACUCCUCCUUACAGAGGGUCCUUAUCACUUGUCAGCAUUGCCUUUGGUGGAGAAGGCCUAUAGAUUAAGGGCUUAAAGGGACAGAAAAUUACAGCAAAAAAAGAAUAUGGCAAAGACCUCACAGCAGGAUCUCAUGUCUCUUAAAGCUGGCACUUUCAUGCUUCUAACUUUAAACAAAGUGACAGAAGGGGAAAACAGAAUUUGCUAGGGAUAAUGAAAGUCUGUAACAUUUUUGCUAUCAAAAUGAGAAAAUGCUUAAGGAGAGAGAGAUCAUUAAAAUUAGUUUUGAACUUUAGCAAAACAAUUUUAACCCUCUAGCAAAGAGAUAGACUUCUUUCUUCUCUACCAGCUACUCCUCAAGGGAAAGGACCAUUUGGUGGAAAUUUUGUUCUGAAGAAGCAGAGGCUGAAGUCCCAAGCCUCUAAAUUGUAGUCAGAACUCAGGAAUAUCUAACAUUGAAGGCAACAAGUUGUUGAGAGGAACAAAGUCCUUGAGGCAAUUUCCAAAAAUUGCACAUGCUUUAUCCAAGUUCCAUUGAAACACAUCCAGACUAUACCUGAAAAAUUCCCCCUCUCUCCCCAAGAGAAGCAUAUUUACCUUGUGGUAUCAUGGAAGACAUUCCAGCAUCUGGCCACCCAGGAGCAGAUGGGUUUGGGGCCAUCACUGAACAUUUCCUUAGCUGUACUGGGCUCUGAAAACUUACUCUGAAGUCCUUGCGCUGUGCCUACUUGCAAUGAAUCACUGGCUGAAGCUUGAAGGAUGGGUAGAGUAUUUGGUAGAAAUGUAGAGGAGGAGGAAUUAAGGUAAAGAAAUAACGUGGGCUAAAAUACGGAGAAAGAAAGAACAAGGUGCAUUUAUGUGGAGGCUCGGGGGCAGCUAGCAGGCUAAGGUUGGCAAACCUCUCAGACUGACAAGAGUUUAACGUUCAAGUGGCGAAUUAGCGCAAAAUGGAAUAGAAGGGUAGGUUUAGCAGGGCCUCAAUCUCCUAGUUAAAAACAUUUUUUUUUCAUUCUCCAGGUACUGAGAUGGCGUUUGCUUUGGUACUUUGCACAAAGUACGUAUUAGGGACGUGAAUUGAAUCACUUCAUUUUAGAUUUGGGAAGGAAGGAGUGAAUGAAUGAAUAUACCACCCAGAAUAUUAAACAUUCCAAAUCUGCA